GCAGAUCGCGUGCUUUAAAAAAAAACGGAUAAACAGACAGAUAAAAUAAUAACAUAAUAACAACGGACGAGUAGCUGUUAUAAUCACCGUCCGCUCUCCUCCAAUACCGAAUAAACUACUGGGACCAAAGAAAGAACCAUUCCAUCUUUCCUGUUCCGUCUGUCUCUCUCUCCUUCCCUUCCUUCCUUUCUGUCUCUCUUCCCCUCUCUCCCCCUCCUUUCUGUCUCUCUUCCCCUCUCUCCCCCUCCUUUCUGUCUCUCUUCCCCUCUCUCCCCCCUCCUUUCCUUCUCUCUCUGUGAUGAGGGGCUGUGGCUGAGGCUGUGGGUGAGGGUCUGUGUCCAGUCUGAAGCUGGGGAAGCUAAAGGUGGUGCGGCGGCAGCUGCUGCAAAGGUAUGAGCACCAGCCGUUUGUGUCAUGUCUGGCUGGUCUAUACGGCUGUCAAUGGAGACGCUACCAGAGGGCCAAGUCACAGCCCGGGGAGAGCUGCUGCAGCAGGG
Molecule: long non-coding RNA, 497 nt
Organism: Oncorhynchus tshawytscha (Chinook salmon)
Lineage: Eukaryota; Metazoa; Chordata; Actinopteri; Salmoniformes; Salmonidae
Source: Ensembl